This is a long non-coding RNA of Anoplopoma fimbria (sablefish), 274 nucleotides long. RefSeq lists it as uncharacterized. The transcript is spliced from 3 exons. The record is from RefSeq and is a predicted model, not a curated record. Lineage: Eukaryota; Metazoa; Chordata; Actinopteri; Perciformes; Anoplopomatidae.
GAAGUGGCAGAUCCAGGAGCAGCAGCUGAAGCUCCAGAUCGCCCAGCUGGAGACGGCACUGAAGGCCGACCUCAUGGACAAAAAUGAAAUCCUGGAUAAGAUCAAAGCUGAGAGAGACUCAAACGAGAAGCUGACAGAAGAAAAUCAGAAACUUCAGCUCCAGUUUCUGGAACAGAAGCAGCAGCUGGAGGAACUAAACGACCGUUUGAAGUUCUACAGCAGGGAGAACGAGUACGACGUGUCUGAACUCACUGAGGCUCUGCUGCUCGUUAAG